Molecule: ribosomal RNA, 408 nt
Filed under: actinobacterium SCGC AAA278-E11
Lineage: Bacteria; Bacillati; Actinomycetota; Actinomycetes
Description: bacterial SSU rRNA
Rfam family: Bacterial small subunit ribosomal RNA
Source: RNAcentral
CAGUGGGGAAUAUUGGGCAAUGGAGGAAACUCUGACCCAGCGACGCCGCGUGCGGGAUGAAGGCCUUCGGGUUGUAAACCGCUUUCAGCAGGGAAGAAGCGAAAGUGACGGUACCUGCAGAAGAAGCACCGGCUAACUAUGUGCCAGCAGCCGCGGUAAUACAUAGGGUGCAAGCGUUGUCCGGAAUUAUUGGGCGUAAAGAGCUCGUAGGUGGUUCGUCACGUCGGAUGUGAAACUCUGGGGCUUAACCCCAGACCUGCAUUCGAUACGGGCGAGCUUGAGUAUGGUAGGGGAGUCUGGAAUUCCUGGUGUAGCGGUGGAAUGCGCAGAUAUCAGGAGGAACACCAAUGGCGAAGGCAGGACUCUGGGCCAUUACUGACACUGAGGAGCGAAAGCGUGGGGAGCGAA